This is a long non-coding RNA of Eriocheir sinensis (Chinese mitten crab), 655 nucleotides long. RefSeq lists it as uncharacterized. The record is from RefSeq and is a predicted model, not a curated record. The transcript has 3 exons. Lineage: Eukaryota; Metazoa; Arthropoda; Malacostraca; Decapoda; Varunidae.
GAGGAAAUCAAUUGUAUCAGUAGGUUUGAUGGUGACAGUGAUGGUGACUUAGUGGUGAUGAUGGGGAAGCCAGAGAAAAAUCAAUUGUGUCAGUAGGUUUGAUGGUGACAGUGAUGGUGACUUAGUGGUGAUGAUGGGGGUGCCAGAGGAAAUCAAUUGUGUCAGUAGGUUUGAUGGUGACAGUGAUGGUGACUUAGUGGUGAUGAUGGGGGUGCCAGAGGAAAUCAAUUGUGUCAGUAGGUUUGAUGGUGACAGUGAUGGUGACUUAGUGGUGAUGAUGGAGUGCCAGAGAAAAAUUAAUUGUGUCAGUAGGCGUGAUGGUGACAGUGAUGGUGAAGGAGUAGCAACGUGAUGGUGACUUAGUGGUGAUGAGGAGAUGGGAAAAUUCGCUAAAUGUGGUGAUGAUGGUGAUGAUGGUGAUGAUGAGGGGGAGGAAGUGUGAUGAUGAUGAUGAUGAUGACGAUUAGGUGGAGGAUAUGUGGCAUUGAGAGAGUGAGGUUAUUUGUGAUGGUGGUGAUAAUGACGAGGAUGAUGAGGAAGUGUGGCAGGGUGUGUGUGGAGGUGGUGGUGGUAGUGGUGGGGUGGUGGUGGCGGCGGCGGCUCUGGGUCCACGUACGGCUUUAAACCAUUGAAAGCAGCCACCCAGCUUAUUGGA